Molecule: non-coding RNA, 5996 nt
Organism: Leptonychotes weddellii (Weddell seal)
Lineage: Eukaryota; Metazoa; Chordata; Mammalia; Carnivora; Phocidae
Source: RefSeq, a predicted model, not a curated record
AACAGAAAAUACACACACUUAAAAAGUUAUCCAGUCCCGGGAUGACAAUUCAGAACAUUACAUUUGGGUUCUCAUAGGCAGGGGCUGGGGUAAACUACUUUUAGGAAGCCACAGUCAAUUUUGGUCAAGAGAUGGAUGUUGUUGUUAAUUAUAAGAUGACCUCAAUAAAACUGGCCCUGGACAAAUACAGUAUUAGGUUAUUAAGUGUAGUUACAACGGAAUUUUACGAACAAUCACGUUUUUAAGAGGCAAAGGGCAGUCGUGAUUUCACAGCCUCAUCGACAUUACACAAAAAUAUCGAAAUCAGCUCGAGAACUAAGAGGCCUCUAACCUGAAUUCAUCCCCACUUGUGAUAAAACAAAUCUGCCAAUCUAUAAGUAAAAUACAGGGACACUUUACUACCCUGAAAAUCAGGACGAGAUCCCGCCAGACCGGGCGGACGUUUUCGGAAACAUCUCCGCUUGGCGUCCCGGGCGCACUUCUACCGGGGACACUCCUGGUUGCGGCGCUCUCGAGAUACUGUAGCGUCGCCCUUACGCCUGUCGACGUGACUCCCUUUCCUAUGGAUACACAGAAUGACCCUUGGCGCAAAAUUCACCCACAGUCCCUCCCCGAGUCUGCAACCAAUAAAAAACAACUACUCUUUCUUCAGGUCUUAAAAAACGCAAGCCAACCGGGGUCACCGCGCUAGUCUCACCCACCACCCCGGAAGUACAAGCAACAGAGCUUCAACAAGAGAAUGAGCGUAGAGGAGGCGCCAAAAUAAAUCCCACUCUCGCGAUAUCUUAAACACAAGUCUCGCAACAUCCUUCUGCUUCUCCUUGUUUUUCAGCCCCAUCCCCACACCAGUUCGUUGCUUCAAAACAUCGCGAGAUUUUCUCCUUUCAAUCUCCGCCCCUUUACGGCACGAUGGUCGCACAAGAAUGUGAUACAGGCUCGACGGCCGCCAUUUUCUUUCUUUCUUAGCAGUUGGCUGAGGGAAGGUCUCUGCGAAGAAGCGGCAGCGGCCACUAUAGCGUAGACAUGGCAGACUACUCAACGGUGCCUCCACCUUCUUCUGGCUCAGCUGGUGGUGGAGGCGGCGGCGGUGGUGGUGGAGGAGUUAACGAUGCUUUCAAAGAUGCGCUGCAGAGAGCACGGCAGAUUGCAGCAAAAAUUGGAGGUGAUGCUGGUACAUCACUGAAUUCAAAUGACUAUGGUUAUGGGGGACAAAAAAGACCUUUGGAAGAUGGAGAUGGCUCUUGGACAAGUCCGAGCAGUACAACACACUGGGAGGGAAUGCCCUCUCCUUUUAAAGAUCAACCAGAUGCUAAGAAAGUUGCUCCUCAAAAUGACUCUUUUGGAACACAGUUACCACCGAUGCAUCAGCAGCAAAGGUCUGUAAUGACAGAAGAAUACAAAGUUCCAGAUGGAAUGGUUGGAUUUAUAAUUGGCAGAGGUGGUGAACAGAUCUCACGCAUACAACAAGAAUCUGGAUGCAAAAUACAGAUAGCUCCUGACAGUGGUGGCCUUCCAGAAAGGUCUUGUAUGCUAACUGGAACACCUGAAUCUGUCCAAUCAGCAAAACGGUUAUUGGACCAGAUUGUUGAAAAAGGAAGACCAGCCCCCGGCUUCCACCAUGGUGAUGGACCAGGAAAUGCAGUUCAAGAAAUCAUGAUUCCAGCUAGCAAGGCAGGAUUAGUUAUUGGAAAGGGGGGAGAAACUAUUAAACAACUUCAGGAGCGGGCUGGAGUUAAAAUGGUUAUGAUUCAAGAUGGACCUCAGAACACUGGUGCUGACAAACCUCUUAGGAUUACAGGAGACCCAUACAAAGUUCAGCAAGCCAAGGAAAUGGUGUUAGAGUUAAUUCGUGAUCAAGGUGGUUUCAGAGAAGUUCGAAAUGAGUAUGGGUCAAGAAUAGGAGGAAAUGAAGGGAUAGAUGUCCCCAUUCCAAGAUUUGCUGUUGGCAUUGUAAUAGGAAGAAAUGGAGAGAUGAUAAAAAAAAUACAAAAUGAUGCUGGUGUUCGAAUUCAGUUUAAGCCAGAUGAUGGAACAACACCUGAUAGAAUAGCACAAAUAACAGGACCUCCAGACCGAUGUCAACAUGCUGCAGAAAUUAUUACAGACCUUCUUCGAAGUGUUCAGGCUGGUAAUCCUGGUGGACCUGGACCUGGUGGUCGAGGAAGAGGUAGAGGUCAAGGCAACUGGAACAUGGGACCACCUGGUGGACUACAGGAAUUUAAUUUCAUUGUACCAACUGGGAAAACUGGAUUAAUAAUAGGAAAAGGAGGUGAAACCAUAAAAAGCAUAAGCCAGCAGUCUGGUGCAAGAAUAGAACUUCAGAGAAAUCCUCCACCUAAUGCAGAUCCUAAUAUGAAACUAUUUACAAUUCGUGGCACUCCACAGCAAAUAGACUAUGCGCGGCAACUUAUAGAAGAAAAGAUUGGUGGCCCAGUAAAUCCUUUAGGGCCACCUGUACCCCAUGGGCCCCAUGGUGUCCCAGGUCCCCAUGGGCCUCCUGGGCCUCCAGGGCCUGGAACUCCAAUGGGACCAUACAACCCUGCACCUUAUAAUCCAGGACCACCCGGCCCUGCACCUCAUGGUCCUCCAGCUCCUUAUGCUCCCCAGGGGUGGGGAAAUGCAUAUCCACACUGGCAGCAACAGGCCCCUCCUGAUCCAGCUAAGGCAGGAACGGAUCCAAAUUCAGCAGCUUGGGCUGCCUAUUAUGCUCACUAUUAUCAACAGCAAGCACAGCCACCACCUGCAGCUCCUGCUGGUGCACCAACUACAACCCAGACCAAUGGACAAGGAGAUCAGCAGAAUCCAGCUCCAGCUGGACAGGUUGAUUAUACCAAGGCUUGGGAAGAGUAUUACAAGAAAAUGGGUCAACAAGGGCAGACACAAGAUUAUUCAAAAGCUUGGGAGGAAUAUUACAAGAAGCAAGGUCAAGCAGUUCCUGCUCCUACUGGUGCUCCACCAGGUGGUCAGCCAGAUUAUAGUGCAGCCUGGGCCGAGUACUAUAGACAACAAGCAGCCUACUAUGCCCAGACAAGUCCCCAGGGAAUGCCACAGCAUCCUCCAGCACCUCAGGGCCAAUAAUAAGAAGUGGACAAUACAGUAUUUGCUUCAUUGUGUGGGGGAAAAAAACCUUUGUUAAAUAUAUGGAUGCAGACGACUUGAUGAAGAUCUUAAUUUGUUUUUGGUUUAAAAUAGUGGUUUUUUUUUUUUUUUUUGAAAAUGUACAAAAUAUCUAUCACUACUGAUAGGAGGUUAAUAUUUCUGUGUAGAAAUGAAAAUUGGUUUGUUUUUAGUAUUUAGUGUAGAUGUACACAUUCCAGCAAAUGUAUUUGCAACUAUUAUGUGGUCAAUGCUUUGUGAUAUAAAUGUACUUUUUCAAUGUAUACUUUCACUUUUAAAAUGCCUGUUUUGUGCUUUACAAUAAAUGAUAUGAAACCUCCUGUGUCGGUAAGUUGGAUAUGUGGGUAUUUAAAGGAUUCAUAAUUUCUUAGCAAUGAUAAAUUAAGAUACAUAUACACAAAUAUAAGCUUUCCCCAUGAAAUAUUAAUUGAGUUUUUAAACACUGGCAUGUUUUUUCCCCCUUGCAGUAUAGUAGUAGAUUGGAGGAUCUUUUCCAUUUAUUGUAUUUGGCUGUUUCAGCACAAGUAAUCCUGAUAUCUUCAUUUUUUUUUCCUUCUGUUUGAUUAAAACCUGCAUGUGUGUACAGUGAUCUUUUGGCAUACUUCCAUUGCAUUAACAGUGAAAUUUCCUUUUAUACAUGACCACUGUUUCAGAUCUGUACUGCUGCUAUAACAGUUAACCUUUCUGUUCUUAAUUUAAUAAUUACUUGAUUUCCAAGACUAUUUCAGCAUAACUAAUUUUUAAACAGUUUUCGGAUAGUGAAUAUGAGUAGUUGAUUAAGAAGUUUUUUCAUGUAAAGAAACUUUCAAUGUAUACAAUAUUAGUGUGUUUCUUUUUAAAUUUAGGGUAGAAAAGUGAAUAGUAUGCAAAAAGUAUAGCUACAGUGCAUCUGCCAUUGAAACAUUAUUGGGGUAUGGAAAUGUUCAAGCUUUUUUUUUUUUUUUUUUCUUUUUGCAGUAUAGAUAAGCUUUGUUCUGUAAAUGCACAAGUCCAAUCAUUGAAUCAACUUAAUUUUUUAUGUACUUGAAAUCACUUUAUUACUCUAUAACACUCAUGCUGAAGUUCUGAUACUUUGUUGAAAUCCAUUGUUUACUCUUUGCAUAUUUGUUGGCUCUUUGCAUAUUAAUAUAUUAGACUACAUGCAAAUACAGUCUGUCUUGCCAUUGUCUGUUGAAGUGCAGGUUUGAUCCAGCCAGUAUAGAACUAGCUCUGUAGGGGUGAGGAGGACUGUGCUGUGUAUCAUCCUUGAUUGUGUUCCUUCAAGGAGCAUUGCACUUGCCUUCCCAGACCUUCCACCUUAGGUUCUGCUGCAAAAAGCAACAGUGCUGAAGAUGCUGCAAGCACCAAAUCAUAGCUCAUAAAAUCAGGUCCUGAGAUAGUUACCCAUAAAGAGGAAUCCUUUGAGUGUAUGCCAUUGGUGAGCCGAUGAGCAUGGACCAUAGAAGGGCUCAAUGUAGAAGGUAAAAUUGGCAAAUCAUAAUUGAGAAAUAUGAAAUGUAUUCCCAUACAUAAUAUGGUAUAGGGUGUAAUGUACCUGCUUUUGAUCACUUUUCAUUUUAAAGUGCUAUUCGCUUGAUCUUGAAUGUUCCAUGAACUGUUAAAUUUUGUAAGUUAUAUAGUUACUGCACCACAUUUAUGUGUGUGUAUGUAUUGUUUUAAUAGUCAAUGAUAGGUAUGUUAAGACUGAUAAUACAAAGGAGCUCUUUGAACCUUAAGAGCCUGUCAAGUUUUGGUUAGUUGUAGUUUGCAUUUUUAUAAAAUAUAGAUGAAUGCUAAUAGAUAUUGGGGCAUUGUUUCUAUCUCGAGUUUUUUUUAUUCAUUACCAUAAGCCUUCACUGAUACUGCAUUUUUUUAAAUGGCGCUAAUCUUAACCUUGAAAUAAAUGGAAAGCAGAAAAGGUGAGCCAGUUGACUUGAAUGCAAUGGAUGUUAGGAGUGGUAGAAACAAUGUUUAGAUUGAAAUUGAACUGAUUUAUUUUAUUUAGCACUUAAAAAACUUGACAAUGUGUUUCAUUUUUUAAUGAUAUUUUAGAGUGGUGUUAUGUAGAAUUCUUAUGGUUUGAUGUUUCUUUUAGAAAUGAAAAGUAUACUUUUAUUUUUAACUAAUGAAAAUGGUUUUAAUACUAAAACUAAUGAUUUGAUACUAGUUGUUUAUAAACAUUAUAAAAUAUUUCCUUAGACAAAUACCUUGGUAGUUAAUUCAUAAGGGUGGGUUUGGGUAGGAGUGGCAGAGUACCUUAAGAGGGAAAUAGGAAUAUAUGCAGAAGUGAUAACAUUUGUUUGAAUACUCUGCCAGGAGAACCAGCUCUAUCUGCAAACAUCUGUUGUCUAGAAUAAGGAUGUAGAAAUGAUCAAUGAGGAUGUCUUUUUAUUUUCUGAAAAUUCUGCCUCAUUUUAAAAUUAUUUUAACAAUACUAAAGAUAAUUUUGACUCUGAAAAUAACCUUAUUUUUUGUUUAGUCACUUGAGUUUUCUUGCCACAGUAUAAAUUUCUGAGGGAUUUUUUAAAUUGGUGCUUUUAAGAAGCAAAUCCCGAGGUUUUAUUUUCUUCAAUGAUAGCCCUAUAGAAACUCUUAAAUGUAUUUGCGCAUAUAUAUAUAUAUAUUUUUUCUUAUGCAUGCUCGAUGCAUUUUCGUCCUGAGAAAAGUGUUCUCUACAGAAACUACCCGUGUGUAAAAAGAAGAUUGGCUUAAAAUGGCUACUGUGAUGGGAACAGUGUCUUAGGGAGAUGCAGCUUGGACUUGAGGUAAAUUGAAUACUUUACAAACUGUGGUUUAGAGUUUGCUUUAAUGACAUUGUAUGUAAAAGGGCACAUGAUUGCUGUAAUUUUGUAUUGAUUAUGGUUUCCUCAAUAAAAAAAAUAAAUGUACAUUGAUCAAUA